GCCGCGAUAGCUCAGCCUGGUAGAGCAUCACCUUGGUAAGGUGGGGGUCGCGGGAUCAAAUCCCGCUCGCGGCU
RNAcentral lists this transfer RNA (74 nucleotides) under Nitrososphaerota archaeon. Its description in RNAcentral is "tRNA-Thr". It matches the Rfam family "tRNA". Rfam says of the family: Transfer RNA (tRNA) molecules are approximately 80 nucleotides in length. Their secondary structure includes four short double-helical elements and three loops (D, anti-codon, and T loops). The record is from RNAcentral. Lineage: Archaea; Thermoproteati; Nitrososphaerota.